UGGAUCCAGACUUUGAUUAUGGCUCAGGAUGAACGCUAGCUACAGGCUUAACACAUGCAAGUCGAGGGGAAACGACAUCGAAAGCUUGCUUUUGAUGGGCGUCGACCGGCGCACGGGUGAGUAACGCGUAUCCAACCUGCCCAUCACUUGGGAAUAACCUUGCGAAAGUAAGACUAAUGCCCAAUGAUAUCCCACGAAGACAUCUGAAUGGGAUUAAAGAUUUAUCGGUGAUGGAUGGGGAUGCGUCUGAUUAGCUUGUUGGCGGGGUAACGGCCCACCAAGGCAACGAUCAGUAGGGGUUCUGAGAGGAAGGUCCCCCACAUUGGAACUGAGACACGGUCCAAACUCCUACGGGAGGCAGCAGUGAGGAAUAUUGGUCAAUGGGCGAGAGCCUGAACCAGCCAAGUAGCGUGCAGGAAGACGGCCCUAUGGGUUGUAAACUGCUUUUAUAAGGGAAUAAAGUGGGUCACGUGUGACUUUUUGCAUGUACCUUAUGAAUAAGGACCGGCUAAUUCCGUGCCAGCAGCCGCGGUAAUACGGAAGGUCCGGGCGUUAUCCGGAUUUAUUGGGUUUAAAGGGAGCGUAGGCCGGAGAUUAAGCGUGUUGUGAAAUGUAGUGGCUCAACCUCUGCACUGCAGCGCGAACUGGUCUUCUUGAGUACGCACAACGUGGGCGGAAUUCGUGGUGUAGCGGUGAAAUGCUUAGAUAUCACGAAGAACUCCGAUUGCGAAGGCAGCUCACGGGAGCGCAACUGACGCUGAAGCUCGAAAGUGCGGGUAUCGAACAGGAUUAGAUACCCUGGUAGUCCGCACGGUAAACGAUGGAUGCCCGCUGUUGGCCUGAAUAGGUCAGCGGCCAAGCGAAAGCAUUAAGCAUCCCACCUGGGGAGUACGCCGGCAACGGUGCAACUCAAAUGAAUUGACGGA
RNAcentral lists this ribosomal RNA (926 nucleotides) under uncultured Bacteroidota bacterium. RNAcentral describes it as "bacterial SSU rRNA". It matches the Rfam family "Bacterial small subunit ribosomal RNA", at positions 1 to 917 of the family's 1533-position model. Lineage: Bacteria; Pseudomonadati; Bacteroidota. The record is from RNAcentral.